UGGGGAAUUUUGGACAAUGGGCGAAAGCCUGAUCCAGCAAUGCCGCGUGUGUGAAGAAGGCCUUCGGGUUGUAAAGCACUUUUGUCCGGAAAGAAAUCCUUGGCUCUAAGUACAGCUCGGGGGAUGACGGUACCGGAAGAAUAAGCACCGGCUAACUACGUGCCAGCAGCCGCGGUAAUACGUAGGGUGCAAGCGUUAAUCGGAAUUACUGGGCGUAAAGCGUGCGCAGGCGGUUUGCUAAGACCGAUGUGAAAUCCCCGGGCUCAACCUGGGAACUGCAUUGGUGACUGGCAGGCUAGAGUAUGGCAGAGGGGGGUAGAAUUCCACGUGUAGCAGUGAAAUGCGUAGAGAUGUGGAGGAAUACCGAUGGCGAAGGCAGCCCCCCUGGGCCAAUACUGACGCUCAUGCACGAAAAGCGUGGGGAGCAAAACAGGAUUAGAUACCCUGGUAGUCCACGCCCUAAACGAUGUCAACUAGUUGUUGGGGAUUCAUUUCCUUAGUAACGUAG
Molecule: ribosomal RNA, 508 nt
Filed under: uncultured bacterium
Lineage: Bacteria
Description: partial 16S ribosomal RNA
Rfam family: Bacterial small subunit ribosomal RNA
Source: RNAcentral